RNAcentral lists this unclassified non-coding RNA (374 nucleotides) under soil metagenome. Its description in RNAcentral is "partial contains internal transcribed spacer 2 and large subunit ribosomal RNA". The stretch from base 1 to 120 matches the Rfam family "5.8S ribosomal RNA", at positions 35 to 154 of the family's 154-position model. The record is from RNAcentral.
GAUGAAGAACGUAGUGAAAUGCGAUAAUUAAUGUGAAUUGCAGAAUUCCGUGAAUCAUCGAGUCUUUGAACGCACAUUGCGCCUCAUGGCAUUCCGUGAGGCAUGCCCAUCUCAGCGUUAGAAAAUAUUCUCAAAUUUUAGUUUUGUGCUAAAAUUUGGAUCAUGUCAAGGAAGCUAUUACUAUUAUUGUGAUCGCUCUUUGGAAAUUGAUAGGUCUUUGAGUUGCUACUCAUAGAACGUGAUGAAUCUUUCUUCGUUCUAUUGUAAUUCACUCUGGUAGUCCUAAAACUUGUAUGCCUGUGGCAUAUCUUGUAAUUUGACCUGAGAUUGGGUAGGGAUACCCGCUAAACUUAAGCAUAUCAAUAACCGGAGGA